UGUCUAUUAACUUAGCAUUGUAGGUGUGAGUCUGUGAGAAUGCCAAGAUUAAUACACACAAAUACAAUAAAGAACCAUAUACAAAAGUGGAGUUAAGAAAGAAAGGUGAUUGAAAUGGUUUGGACAUGUCCAAAAUAAACCAACAAAAUGCACCAAGAUAAAAGGCCGAACACAACCAAGUAUAGGAGUGUAGAAAUGAGAGGUAGACCUA
RNAcentral lists this unclassified non-coding RNA (211 nucleotides) under Hevea brasiliensis (rubber tree). The record is from RNAcentral. Lineage: Eukaryota; Viridiplantae; Streptophyta; Magnoliopsida; Malpighiales; Euphorbiaceae.